RNAcentral lists this unclassified non-coding RNA (590 nucleotides) under Rhizopus arrhizus. RNAcentral describes it as "sequence contains 18S rRNA gene, ITS1, 5.8S rRNA gene, ITS2, 28S rRNA gene". The stretch from base 239 to 392 matches the Rfam family "5.8S ribosomal RNA". The record is from RNAcentral. Lineage: Eukaryota; Fungi; Mucoromycota; Mucoromycetes; Mucorales; Rhizopodaceae.
AGUCGUAACAAGGUUUCCGUAGGUGAACCUGCGGAAGGAUCAUUAAUUAUGUUAAAGCGCCUUACCUUAGGGUUUCCUCUGGGGUAAGUGAUUGCUUCUACACUGUGAAAAUUUGGCUGAGAGACUCAGACUGGUCAUGGGUAGACCUAUCUGGGGUUUGAUCGAUGCCACUCCUGGUUUCAGGAGCACCCUUCAUAAUAAACCUAGAAAUUCAGUAUUAUAAAGUUUAAUAAAAAACAACUUUUAACAAUGGAUCUCUUGGUUCUCGCAUCGAUGAAGAACGUAGCAAAGUGCGAUAACUAGUGUGAAUUGCAUAUUCAGUGAAUCAUCGAGUCUUUGAACGCAGCUUGCACUCUAUGGUUUUUCUAUAGAGUACGCCUGCUUCAGUAUCAUCACAAACCCACACAUAACAUUUGUUUAUGUGGUGAUGGGUCGCAUCGCUGUUUUAUUACAGUGAGCACCUAAAAUGUGUGUGAUUUUCUGUCUGGCUUGCUAGGCAGGAAUAUUACGCUGGUCUCAGGAUCUUUUUUUUUGGUUCGCCCAGGAAGUAAAGUACAAGAGUAUAAUCCAGUAACUUUCAAACUAUGAUC